AAAAAUAUUUUUAAACUAAUUAAAACAAAGGAGAAAAGAGAAAAUUCAUGAAAAAUAGAAAAUCAGUGAAAUAAAAAUAAGAUGAAGAAAAAUAAAAGAGAAUUUUAGAAAUUAUUUUGGGAUAUUUUGGAUAAAAAAUGAAAUUACUAUGAAUUUUUAAAGAAAAAGAAAUUUAAAAUUAUAAAAGAAAUAUAAUUAAAAUCAGAAAAAACACGGAGCGUUGGAUCACGCCUCAUUAAUUGACGUGGCAGAUCCAACACUCCAAAU
Molecule: long non-coding RNA, 267 nt
Filed under: Lathyrus oleraceus (garden pea)
Lineage: Eukaryota; Viridiplantae; Streptophyta; Magnoliopsida; Fabales; Fabaceae
Description: Pisum sativum (pea) long non-coding RNA (PSAT_LNC005317)
Source: RNAcentral